AACGAACGCUGGCGGCAUGCCUAACACAUGCAAGUCGAACGCCCUGGUUCGCCAGGGAGUGGCGCACGGGUGAGUAACGCGUGGGAACCUGCCCGGCAGUACGGGACAACCGCGGGAAACUGCGGCUGAUACCGUAUACGGCCUGAGGGCGAAAGAAUUUCGCUGUCGGAGGGGCCCGCGUCGGAUUAGGUAGUUGGUGGGGUAACGGCCUACCAAGCCUGCGAUCCGUAGCUGGUCUGAGAGGAUGAUCAGCCACACUGGGACUGAGACACGGCCCAGACUCCUACGGGAGGCAGCAGUGGGGAAUAUUGGACAAUGGGCGCAAGCCUGAUCCAGCAAUGCCGCGUGAGUGAUGAAGGCCUUAGGGUUGUAAAGCUCUUUCGCCCGCGACGAUGAUGACGGUAGCGGGAGAAGAAGCCCCGGGCUAACUCCGUGCCAGCAGCCGCGGUAAUACGGAGGGGGCUAGCGUUGUUCGGAAUUACUGGGCGUAAAGGGCGCGCA
Molecule: ribosomal RNA, 501 nt
Filed under: uncultured bacterium
Lineage: Bacteria
Description: bacterial SSU rRNA
Rfam family: Bacterial small subunit ribosomal RNA
Source: RNAcentral